Long non-coding RNA from Platichthys flesus (European flounder), 371 nucleotides. RefSeq lists it as uncharacterized. The transcript is spliced from 2 exons. The record is from RefSeq and is a predicted model, not a curated record. NCBI's taxonomy places the organism in Eukaryota, Metazoa, Chordata, Actinopteri, Pleuronectiformes, Pleuronectidae.
AGCGAUGGGACCUCCGGCUGAGUGGAGGAGAGAUGCACACACUGGUGAGACCUUCAGCACAUUAAUGGAUGGAGAUUUGACGUAUACAGUGCGGCUGGAUAACAAUACUUGGACAACAGCAUCUUUGAGUGUGUUUCAAAGAAUGAACGAGGGACUGGGAACUCACUGGAGAUGCGACCCCAUCCAGUGACGUAGCAGGACUCGUUGUGGGGGAGGAGGAAACCUGCAGCAGGGAGACAAGCCGCCAUGAUGCUGUCAGAGAAGCUAACAGGCGUCUCCAGCUUGAUCAGAGCGAUGUCGUUACUGCAGAGGAAACACACACACACACACACACACACACACACACACACACACAUACACAAACACAUAGA